UUCGCAAUGCCCGAAAGGGUGACGAAGCGACGCCGCGUGCGGGAAGAAGGCCUUCGGGUUGUAAACCGCUGUCAGGAGUUAGGAAAUGCAAGGACGUUAAUAGCAUCUUUGCUUGACUAAGGCUCCGGAGGAAGCCACGGCUAACUCGGUGCCAGCAGCCGCGGUAAUACAGAGGCGGCAAGCGUUGUUCGGAAUUAUUGGGCGUAAAGAGCACGUAGGCGGCCGUGUAAGUCGGUUGUGAAAGCCUUCCGCUCAACGGGAGAACGGCAUCCGAUACUGCAUGGCUAGAGUGCGGGAGGGGAGAGUGGAACUUCUGGUGGAGCGGUGAAAUGCGUAGAUAUCAGAAGGAACGUCGGCGGCGAAAGCGACUCUCUGGCCUAUUACUGACACUAAGUGUGCGAAAGUUAGGGGAGCAAACGGGAUUAGAUACCCCGGUAGUCCUAACUGUAAGCGAUGGGCACUAAGUAGAGGGGUUUU
Molecule: ribosomal RNA, 477 nt
Filed under: uncultured anaerobic ammonium-oxidizing bacterium
Lineage: Bacteria
Description: bacterial SSU rRNA
Rfam family: Bacterial small subunit ribosomal RNA
Source: RNAcentral